AGUAUAGCUAUGCUUGCACUCAUUUGUUAGGUGAAGCAUAUUAUUGUUCUUUGCUUAAGCUUGAGUUAUGUAACAGGAAAUGACUGUUCUGUAUGCAGGCAGAAGGUUAAUGGAAGUGCUGUUUGUAUUUCCUUUACAAAUGUCUAUACACAUGCACAUACCUGUCAUUGCUAGCUCAAGGAUGCAAACACUAGAAACGUUAAUUGUAUUAAAUCUAUGUUGUCUUUUGGCUGUAAUUAAAUUUUCUGCUUUGUUAUAUAAAAAUAAUUGGGGAUGUGUAUAUUUUUUAUUUUUUAGAUACCAUUGUCUGGAUAUGGAGGAACAAGUAAUCUUAUUUUAGAAGAUGUUAAGAAAUUAUCUGACAGUUACUUGAUAACAAUGAAUGACUUAAUUCCUGGCAAAGAAAGUAAAGUUGUUUUUUCUAUUCGCAACACUGGCUCCAGAGCAGCCUUUGUUAGAGCAGUAUGUUUUAAAGAGUCUCAAAGAAAAGUUUUGCUGGAUCCUAAAGUAUUGAGGAUUUUUCCAGAUAAAUUUGUACUUAAGGAAAGAACCCAAGAAGUAAGUAUACAAUAUCUGCCUUAAAAAAUAAAGUUAUAUUUUGAUUAAUAUUAGUAUUUUAUGGCCAAGUAUAAAAUCGUGCUGGGAGGGAGUGUGGAAUAGAAGACUCUAGUCUUUCUGGGAGAGCUGCUGUACAUAUUUAUUUAUUAUUUCCUUUCCUUUUUCCUUUUCCUUUUCCUUUUCCUUUCCCCUUUCCUUUUCCUUUUCCUUUCCUUUUCCUUUCUUUUCCUUUCCCUUUUCCCUUUUUCCCCUUUUCCCUUUUCCCCUUUUUCCCUUUUUCCCUUUUUCCCUUUUUCCCUUUUUCCCUUUUUCCCUUUUACCCUUUUUCCCUUUUUCCCUUUUUCCCUUUUCCCCUUUUUCCCUUUUUCCCUUUUUCCCUUUCCCUUUCCUUAUGGGAGUUUCUCUGUAUAGCCCAGGCUAUCCUGGAACUGUUGACCAGGCUGGCCUUGUCCUCAGAGACUGGCCAGUUUCUGCCUUCUGAGUGUACAAGUGUUCUGUCUGUGGUCUCCUUAGUAUCGUAGGACUGUUUAUCCAGAGUGAGAUAAUUUACUAAGGAAAAAUACUGAAUAUUCAUAUUCCUGCUUUUCUUUUUUUGUUGUACCAGCAUAUUACUUUAGUGUACACUCCAUCAAGCAGAAAGAAUGGCGAAAAACCUGCAACAGAGCUGUUAACUGUCUACAUGUUUGGUGGUGAUGAAAUCUCCAGACAGCAGUAUCGCAGGUAGAACUUGCCAUAGACAAUGUUGGGAGCUGACUGGUGAACACACCUCACUAUUUAUCAGUCAGAGGACAGAUAAAGAGAAACAUUGUUAAAAUUUGUGUGGCUUGUAAGUUGGCAUCAUGUGAGUUGAGAUACUUGGAAGAAACAUAAAUGUGUUUUCUACAUUCUGACUUCUUUCUUGACAUAUGGAUGCUUUUCCCUUAUCCAAUAGGCCCAUCAUGCUUCACACUGCUCCUACAUACUUAGAGCAUACUACAUCAUGCUUUUCCUACCCCAGUUUAAACCUACAUGAUUACUUUUAAUAUGUAAAAUUAAUACAAUUAACAUUUCUAGGAAGGCUAUAAGUUACUAGAAAGGAUCAUUAUAUUUUAGAAAUGUGUGAAUGGUUUACUUUAUAGAUACUUUAUAAAAUUUGAUAUAUCCAAUAUUUAUGUGAUUUAAUAUAUAGAGUUGGAAAGUGGAAUAUUUUUCUAGGUCAAGUAUGAUUAAAAUAUUGAUGCAUUAUUAUGUGUUAAGUUCUGGAUGCUUCUUGUUGCAAAAUGGAGGUUUUAGGGCUAAUACAAGAUAGAUAAAACUCAAACUCACGUUGAGAGCGAUGAAUGACUACUCUGUGAUGCUUUGAAGCUGGCUUCCUUUUUUGUUUUUUUGGUUUUUCGAGACAGGGUUUCUCUGUAUAGCCCUGACUGUCCUGGAACUCACUUUGUAGACCAGGCUGGCCUCGAACUCAGAAAUCCGCCUGCCUCUGCCUCCCGAGUGCUGGGAUUAAAGGCUUGCACCACCAAGCCCGGUCUUGUUUUUGUUUUUUAUCUUUUCUUUUCUUUUUUUGAGACAGGGUCUCUCUACAUAGCCCUGUCUGUCCUGUAUACACCAGGCUGGCUUUGAACUCAUAGAGAUUCACCUGCCUCUACCACCUUGAGUGUUGUGAUUACAGGUGUUUACUACCAAGCCUGUUAAACCCAGCUUCUUACUUAUUUUAGAAUAAUUUGGAGACAGGACAUAGUCACAUUUCCUUUUUCCCCUUCUCUAUACUGAAACAUAAAAAGAAAAAAAACAAACAAACAACCCCAGUGUAUUGUUUCAUAACUUCUAUUUACCAUAGACUUACGUACUGAAAUUUCCUUUGUUUGUGGACAUCUGAGAAUUACAGAGACCUUUAAUAGUUUAUUUCUCACUGUAAAGAUUCUUUGGAAGGUGCCUAUUUUUAUAGUAGUUAAGUGGUUACUUAAAUAUUUCCAUAAACAGUUUUUUAUUGUUCUUUUCUCCUCACUGAGGCAAGUUCUUUGACCAAAUUGUCACAAAUAAUGACAAGAUAAGCCCUGGAAAGAAUCCAAUUCUCUUUCUACUCUUACAUUAAAGAGCCCCUACUUUGCUACUACUAUUAAUUAAUGAUUCCACUACCAUUUAAGCUCUAAAGCAGAUUUGGCUCUGAACAGUACUCAUUUUAUUACUUAAGAUCUAUGAUCUAUGUGUGAAUGUAUCCUGCUGUUAGUGGGGUUUGCCAAGUAAUUAAAAUCUGGUUUAGGUCACGUUGUACAUCAAGUGAAUAAAAAUGUUUUCUGGCAGAGCUCAGAUGCAUACACCAGGAAUCCUAAAGCAGAUCCUUCCAGAACACAGUGUGCUACAGCACAUCGACUUCACGGAGGCAUUUCAGGAUGAGCCUCUCAUUGAUGAAGGUGAGAGUGUGACAGCCUUGAUGUUUGGGUGGCUUGUGGUGUUAGCUAGGCAUGGAGUGAGAACAGGAAGGACUUUCCUUUGGAUAUGGUGUCCUUCUGAGUCUGAGCUUCUGACUUUGAACAAACCACAUCAGUGAGUUUCAGUUUCCUUCUGGUUUGUUAUCUGUAAGAGUUGUUUUGCAAAUCAGAUGGAAGAUGGGAGAGUUGUUUUGCUUUAUAAAUAUUUUAGAUAUCGGUAAAGAAUCAGAUCUCAGGCUCAUAAAUGGAAGAAGGAUGUGGGCCAUUAUUACACUCAGGUUCAUAUUGUUUUAGGCUUCAUGAUGGUGUUUAGAGAUGUAGUGGUGUCC
Molecule: long non-coding RNA, 3298 nt
Filed under: Mus musculus (house mouse)
Lineage: Eukaryota; Metazoa; Chordata; Mammalia; Rodentia; Muridae
Description: long non-coding RNA chr18:67857692-67860990
Source: RNAcentral